This 497-nucleotide ribosomal RNA is filed under the name uncultured bacterium. RNAcentral describes it as "partial 16S ribosomal RNA". It matches the Rfam family "Bacterial small subunit ribosomal RNA", at positions 28 to 507 of the family's 1533-position model. The record is from RNAcentral.
GAUGAACGCUGGCGGCGUGCCUAAUACAUGCAAGUCGAGCGAACAGACGAGGAGCUUGCUCCUCUGACGUUAGCGGCGGACGGGUGAGUAACACGUGGAUAACCUACCUAUAAGACUGGGAUAACUUCGGGAAACCGGAGCUAAUACCGGAUAAUAUACUGAACCGCAUGGUUCAAUAGUGAAAGACGGUUUUGCUGUCACUUAUAGAUGGAUCCGCGCCGCAUUAGCUAGUUGGUAAGGUAACGGCUUACCAAGGCAACGAUGCGUAGCCGACCUGAGAGGGUGAUCGGCCACACUGGAACUGAGACACGGUCCAGACUCCUACGGGAGGCAGCAGUAGGGAAUCUUCCGCAAUGGGCGAAAGCCUGACGGAGCAACGCCGCGUAAGUGAUGAAGGUCUUCGGAUCGUAAAACUCUGUUAUUAGGGAAGAACAAAUGUGUAAGUAACUAUGCACGUCUUGACGGUACCUAAUCAGAAAGCCACGGCUAACUACGUG